This 12422-nucleotide long non-coding RNA is filed under the name Ananas comosus (pineapple). RNAcentral describes it as "long non-coding RNA (ACOM_LNC014997)". Lineage: Eukaryota; Viridiplantae; Streptophyta; Magnoliopsida; Poales; Bromeliaceae. The record is from RNAcentral.
AGAUAAUGAACCUAGAGUUAAUAAACCUAGGCUAUGAGUAUAGAAGCAACGAACCUAAAGUAUUAACUUAGGUUGAGAAAGGCUUGGACCUAGAUAGGUCAAUUCCAUAGGGUUAAGACCAACCCUUAAGUAAUGCGAAAUGGAUUCUGGAAUCCCAAAGCCUAUGGAUACACCGAGAGGGGUGUAGGGUGUGUGCAACGAUUUCGCCGCCCAAGGCUAUAGAACCAUUGUAGGGGCAUGUGCGACGAUUUCGCCGCCGGAUGGUUAGCCGGUUAGUGGAUCAUACCGCCUGUUGACUGAACCAUUGACGUGGCGUGUGCGACGAUUUCGCCGCCGGAUGGCUAAGUCAUGACCUAGGCUAUUGUUGGGUGAAGUGCGAUGCGUUCACCGCCAGACGGCUAGGACAGGAGUACGGUGAGCUGUUGUCAGCUGAGGUGCAUGUGAGAGUUCCUUCGCCUCGAGCUAGACAGUGCGCGGACUAUCCGCGAUUGAUUGACUCAAGACCGAGUCGAGUGGAAUAGUUGGCUAGGGUAGAGUCACCUUAGGAAAGAAUGGAAAAUACUAGGAUGUAGCAAUAAUUAAGAAUGUUAACGAAUAAAGAAUCGCCAAUGGGCGUAAUGUAAGAAAGAAUAAAGAAUAAUAAAGUGUAAAGAAUGAUAAUGAGUAAAGAGUAAUAGAGAGUAAAGAAUGAAAGAGUAGGGUAGGAUUAAUUAACCUACUGGGCUAGUUGCAUGAUCGUUGCAUAUUGCAUUUUGGGAGGCAGGACAUCUUAGUUCAAUAUCUGCUAUAUAUCUGUUAUAUGCUAUUGGACUAACUUGUUGCAGUGCCUUAUUAGACAUAUUGAUCGAGUUUUUCCCUUGGGUGGCCGUAGCCACUGGGAACCAUAGAGUUGGUUCUCACCCCACGUUGUUUUGGGGUGUUUACAGGUACACAAGUGAGCGGCGCGAGGCAAGGGCGUAGCUCCGUAGAUAGCGCCCUACCCCAGAGACCAGAGGUAGCAGUACCCGAGGUGGUUUAGCUUAGUGGUUUUUAUAAGUUAAAGAACAAACUUAUAUUAAGUAUUGUAAUACCUAGAUUGUAUUUGGGAGUUUAAUGUAAAAGAAAAGUGUGAUGUAAAAUGUGUAUGGAAUGGAUGCUUGUAAUAGCAGUUAGUUUUAUGUUAUUGAUACUCCCUUAUGGAAUCUUGACUGUUAUCGAUUCCUGGUUGGAACCUUUGUAUUGUACAGGUUGCGACGCCUUGGACGUACAGGGAAAAUUCUGUCCGUUUGGCGGUCUGUCGGCGGCGCCGCGACCCUCCCAAAUAGGCGAGCGGUCGCGGGGCGUGACAGAUAAAGUGGUAUCAGAGCAUAAAGUAGAGAAUGGAAAAAUAGUUUAGACAGGCCUAGGAGACCCUAGGAUAGUAAACUAUAGGAGAAUAAGGCUCGUGAGAGACGAGAACUUGUGAUUCGUGGCGAAAGGUUAAUGGAUUGGGUUGUGUCAUAACCUCUAAGACGGAUAUUAGAGGUAGACUCAAGGUAUGGUUUAUUCUCGACCGAGUGUGUUCAUGUUGGGCGCGCACAACAUGAAGCCGAGUGACGAGAAUAGACGUCCUUGGGUGACUUUCGCCAAAUUGACUUUUGAGUCGAUGUUAGUGGUCUCCUGUUCGGCCCAGAGGGUCGAGAACUAAUCGAGUUGUCCUGUUUCAGAAAGUGAUGGCACCGCAUAGGCGAUCUUCGUCCAGAUCGGCAAGGGAGGGGACAAGUGGUGUCCCUGAGCAAACCGACGCGAGCGGAGACUCAGAGCUUCGUGAUCAGUUGGCCACACUCGUUGGAGUAAUGAGGCAACAUGCUGAUUUGGUGCAGCGGCAACAGGAGGCUGCAAUGCGCCAGGAGGAGCGAAUGAAACGACUCCAAGAAAUCGUGGACCGGCUGGUGACAGCACCAGCUGCGGCUUGUCGAGAACGGCCAAGAGUUGGGGCGGAAAUGUUUCUGUCGGGGUCGGGCGGUCCGACUCCUAUUAGCUCAGAGGUCGUGGCGGAGAGGGAGCGAGCUCUAGCGGCCCUCAUAACUUUCAAGAAAUUUGAUCCGCCUACUUUUGAUGGUGUAGCACACUGGACCUUUGCAAAUUGCGAGAUUCGAGUGUUCGAUUUGUAUUCCGAACUUUUCCACACUUAGUGGAGGGCCGUCGAUGGUAUACCGGCCUAAAAGUUCGAUCUCGAGAGUUUUGGCAGAGUCCUGAGAGUUUUUACUCUCGGGGACCGGUCCCUGAUAGGAGAGACCGGUCCCCCAGUGAACAGUGCUGCGUAGCCAGCGAGGCAACCGGUCCCUGGCAGUUGAGACCGGUCCCCGAGCGCGUCUGCGCGGGGAGAGACCGGUCCCGCGCAGGGAGAGACCGGUUCCCGAACGUUGGAUUUUCGGGGGCAGGCUGAGAGACCGGUCCCAGGUCGGGGAGACCGGUCCCUCUGGGCGAAAACUGCCCAGACCGGGCUGAUGUAAAUUUGAGUUUUUGAGGGGCCUAAGUGGAUUUUGUUACCUUAGAGGCUAUAGGCAGCCUCUCCUCCCCUCUCACUCUCAUUUUCUCUCCCUCACACUCUUCCUACACUUCUAGAGAGAGAAAGGGAAGGAGAAGAAGGAGAAGAAGAGGAGAAGGAGCUUGCUUGGAGGCCUUGGAGCACCAUCUUCUUCCUCAUUUCUCACCUUUGGAGGCUUGGAGCUUGCUUUUGGAGCUUUGUGGUGGAUCAAUCUUCAACCCUAGAAGAUUUUGAGCUUGGAUUGGAGCAUCCUAGAGGUAAGUGGCAAGGUUCCUUCCUCUAGAUUUUAGUUUUGGAGCUUUUUGCUUGUCUAAACCCUAGAUUUUGGAUUUUAGGGUUAGAUUUGGGGAUUCUUGAUUUGAGGCUUCUUGAUCUCAUUUGAAUGGUUUGGAACCUUUAUAUAGGUUAGAUUGGAAGACCUCUACCUUCCAUUUGAGGAUUUAGAGAGGGUUUUCCACUUGAGGUGAGUUUUUCCCAACCCUAGCUUGAGUUGGUUAAUGUUUGAGCUAUUCGCUCUUCGUUUCGUUUGGGUGACCCUAUUUUUGAUGUUUCUAGGGUACUAGGGAGCUUGUGGAUAUCUUCGUUCGGCGAAACGAAGAAGUCGAUUUUGGUGGGUUUGACUUCAUGAAAAUGGGGCAAAAUGGCCCCUAUGCCUUCUAAACUUUUUGUAAAGUAUUUUUGAAUGCAAAUUCAUGCUAAACAUGAUUUAUAUGAAUUUUAGAACACUUAACAUGCAUGCCUCAUGUAUCGUAAAAUUUGUACUCCAUAUAGUAGAGCUAUAUGUGUAGAUUGCAUGCAUUGUGGAUAGUGCUUGGUUUUGCAAGUUGAGAACAUGUCUCCAUGCUAGAAUUGAGUGAACUAUGCAUCAUGAACAUAUUAAUGCCAUGCUUGGGACUCGUUGAACAAAAGUGUCAUAAAGAGGCACUUGGAAUUAGUAAACUAUAAAAUGCAACUUAGAGACAUGAUGAUAGGCCAUUGUACAUCUGCUAUAUAUUCCAUGUUAGAGACAUGAUGACAUAGAGAUAGGCCUUUGGGACAUUCGAUACAUUCCAUGUUAUUAGACAUGAGGACUUGGUACUUGCGACAGAUCGUUUGACUACUUGCCAUUGUGCUCAUUCGCACAUGCUUGUGAGGGUCGCUCCCUACAAGCCGGCACUCCGGAGAUAGCCAUCGCGAUUCAUAUUCGCCGUGCGGGAUUGGGCGCCGAAGUGGAUUGCCGUGGGACAGGCUCAUUCCUAGGGUGGGGAUGAUGACUACCACGGGGCCAUUAGGCUCGGCACCGGCCAGACAGCCUACGGGUGGGUCUCAGGGCCAUAGACAGCCUUCGGGUGGGUCUCUUCAGAUUUGACUUGAGUAUUCAUUAUGACAUGUGGACAGAUGAUGACUUAGAGUAUUACUUGGACAUUGACUAGAAUAGUAAACAACGGAACUUUACUAUUUCGCAUUGUGAACAUUAUGAUAGUUGGAGACUUUUACUUCAUGCAUAGUUGCUUCAUACUUAUGCUAAUUAUGCUAAGUAGAGAUAUCAUGUUGUAGUAAGUUACAUUUUUACUUACCUUUCGCUUUUCUACUUUUAUAGUCACUGACAUCUUUUGUAGCUUUGGGCCUCGUGGUGCAUUCACUGAAGUCAGUAAUUGCCCACUGGGAACUAUUUUUAAUAGUUCUCACGCCCCUGUUUUAUGGUUUACUUUUCAGAGCCUUCGGCACCGGCGGAGGCACGGGAUCGCGGCAAGGGGAUCGCUUAGCUAGCUAGCGAGGAGCGGUACUUUGCCUAGGUGGUUUACUCUUUCUUUUGUAGUUGAGAGAGUAAGAGGUUUUUGUAUCCAUGUAUAGAGACCACCUAUGUAUCUACCUAUAGCACUUGUAUCUGGGAUUUCUUUGUAUCACUUUAUGUUUUAUUUAGUGGAUUUACAGUUUUAUCCUUAUCCCUUGUUGUAGCAUUUAGACAUUUAUUACGCUCUGAUACUCCUAGAUGUCUUUUAUUAUUGCUUUUAUUAUUGUUGUUUUUAGACGCCUUAUAUAUUUUAGACUUAUGGUGGGUCUGGGCACACGCCGGGCAGGCUUCCGCUGGGUCCCGGGGCGUGACAGAUGGAGAGGAUGCAGAUCCGUGGGUUGUUGAGAUGUGGAUCGAUUCUAUGGAAACACUCUUCGAGGAUCUGUACACGUUGGAGCGAGACAAGGUAAACCUAGCCGUGCACUAUCUGAAACAAUCGACGAAGGUGUGGUGGAAAGGCGUCAAACGAGAUCGAUCGCCUAGUCUCCCUCCUAUGACUUGGGAUGAGUUUCGGGGGUUGAUAUUCUCUGCUUAUUUCCCCGACAGUGAGAAGCGAAAACUCCAGGAAAGAUUCCGGAAGAUGUGGCAAGGAGACCGUUCAGUCAGGCAUUACGAGCGGGAGUUUUCCCGUAUUGUGCAUUGUAUCCCGGGCGUGGUACGAGAUGACCAGGAUAAGGCCAACUGCUUUAUGCAUGGUCUUCGGCCGGAUCUUUACAGGCCUGUACUUAUGCUUAAGUUGCAGACUUUCGCCGAAGUUCUGGAUCGGGCCUUGUGGAUAGAACAAGGCGACGCAUCUCUGCGGGAGAGGCGCGAGGCCUAUUACGAGGAGAAAGGGAAAGGACGACCAACUAGUGAAUCCGGUGGUCAGUCAAGCAACAGACCUCAUCGAGUUCGCGCUCUCGAUCUCGAGCUCCGGGGACAUACCAUAUUCGGUCCUCGGCGAGAUGUGCGAUUUGUGGGGGGCCUCAUUUCCCACAGCAAUGUGAGCAGCGAGAGGGCAAGUGCUUCAAGUGUGGGCUGCCGGGCCAUAUGCGGGAUGAGUGUUCGCAAGGUGAUAGGCAGGCCUUGACACUGGCGACGACCUAUUCCUCUCCGGGACAGCCUGCAGGUGUGCCACCUGGGGCAUGGUCGGAAGAGCGGCCGUUGAGGACGAUGCAACCAGAGGGUUCGCGGCGAGCGCCAAGUGGCCAUGGAUAAGCGACCCGAGUUGCAGGGCCUGCCGUUGUUGACGACGUCAUGGCAGGUAUGAAUUAAUUGAGCAAGCAUAUACUUUUACACGAUCUCGAAUUGGUGCAUAGCAUGCAUUUAUCAUUGGUCAGUUGCUACUAUUAUUACAUUGCAUAGUAGGGACCGAGUUGUCGGGUGGGUGGACACCCGAGCAUGCUUGCAUUGUGAGAGUAUAGCGCCUGCUGGAGCAGGUAGAAAGCCAAGUGACACUAGCGAAUGGUUGGUGAUGGUUCUUGGAUAAGAAAUAGGACUCGUGGCGAACGCGACCUAGUGAAUGACUCUCGGAGCAAUGGAUUAGAGAUUGCAAGAGUUGAGCCACGAAGUUGAGGACGUGCCACGGUAGAUCGAACAUUGAAAGUAGAAUCACUGUGGCGAGAGUAGCCGUGUAGUCGCCGGACGCGGGCCCGUUGGCCUAGUAGUACCUCGAUGUGGAGGUAAGCGAGCCGUGCUCAUGUAGUUGAUGGGCAUAGGCAAGUUGCAUGAUACUAGACUUCAUGUGAGACGCUGUAGAGGUAUAGAGCGCUCGAGUAUAGAUACUCGUAGAGUGCGGUUUCGAUUCAGCCGGUUGAGUGUAUUGGCAGUAGCACUUUAGCAGGGCUAAGUGUGAAGCGGGCCAUGGAUCACUCGUGGGGCUGGUUGCUCGCACUAGGUGCCUAGGAGCCGAUAGAGGGUGUAGCUCUAUAGAGUAUGUCGUGUAGGACGACGUUGGCGGGUAGUGCUUGGGGACGACCCGUGCCUGGACCAUUUGUGAACUGUGGAGCCUGGGCCCAUCGAGCAGGCGCAGUCAGCUAUGAGAGACAGCGGCCCGGUACCUAUUGGUAGGGCAGAGUGUUGGUCAGGACGGUAGUCCGAGCUUGGACCCGGGUGCGUGGAAUGCCACGUGUUAGAUCAUGAGAUUGAUGACACACCGAGUGUAUAGUGACCGAACCCGAGGACUUGACGUGGUUUGGGGUCUUGGUUGCUCUUGGUUGGAGUGCGUGUGAAUUCUCCAAUGAGAAUAUCGCUCGAUGAUGAUUGGGUCUGCGCUUGCGAGCAAGAGACGCUAGGCAUCGUUGAGACGAGUCUAGGCGGAAGACCUGCAUAGGAUUGGUGGCCCUUGGUCCACCUGUGUAAACCGACGGUUAGUGCGGCCGACAACUCUGUUAGUGAGUUUUGGCCUGAACCCCGGAUGGCGGGUUCAUAUGAAUUCGUUGCAAGAACGAAUGAAAGUUGAUCGUGGCUUACCGUAUUAAGGACAAAGAGAAAGUAAAGUGGUCUCUAGGAGACACUUGAAUAACGGAUAGCCACGCGAGGAUUGGAGUUUGAGGAUGAUGCUCUCAAGAGGAUAGAGAUCAGAGAUGUGUGGGAUUGUACCAUCUCGUGAGAGAGCAGAGAUUCGAUUGGGUUUGAAGCACUCGCGAUUGGGUCGAGGCACCAAUGAUAUUGCUUUUGGGCAAUGCCGGUGAUCGGAUCAGAGUGUGUUCCCCGAAGUGACGAGAAAUGCAAAGCGGAGUUGUAUCGAGCUCUCGAAUAACCGAUGUCACGCCCCAAUCCCCGCCAAUUUGGUCGGGUUCGGGUCACGUCAACAGACGCCGAACGGACAGAGCCUUCCCUGUCCGCCCAAGGCUCUAACAACAUGUAUAAUUAGGCAAUCAACAAGAGAAUUGCAUAGAUAAUACAAGGCUUGCACGAGGGCAAGCAACAACGAAAGCGAAAGCUCUAAACUAAUUAAGCAACAUACAUGAUAUUUGAUUAGCAUUUAAACCAAAUUCAAGUAAAUCUAUUACAUUCUUGCAUCAUAUCUUUUUACAUUUAGUCAUCCACCAAAUACAUGAUUAUUUACAACUUUGCAUCUCUAAUUCACCAAAAUAAAGCUGAUACAUGUACACCAAAAGGAAAAUGACUACAAAAUGUACUGCAACUCCGGUGGCCGCUACCUACGGCGCUAAACCCUUGCCUCGGUCCUCCGCCGCCCCGCUCGUGCUAGGACCUGUAGGGUUAGUGGUGUGAGAACUACAACGAAGUUCCCAGUGGGCUAGGCAUCCGACCUCGCCGACUUACCCACUAGAUCUAUCCAGGCAUAAGUAUUUCAAGGAAAGAAAAGUAACCGGUACUAAUGCAUCUAAUACUAUGCCUGCAAAGGAAUGUCAGUGGAUACAGAUAAUCAUCAACAUAUGGGAUGCAUGCAUGCAUGUUCCUUUUUAUUACUUUAUCUUUCUUACCCAAUCUUACCGGUUAACUUUGUUAACCCCAAUAGCUCACCAUACCAUCUCCCGUCUACCGGGGGAGGCUUUAAGCACAACCACCCGAGGGAUCGUCGACGGGAUUCUUCCCGUUGGUGUCUACACUUCGAAGUACACCACUUGAGGGGGAGCGACCUCCCUCAAGCCCAAGUUCAUGUGAGCCUCGAUCCAAUCCUCAAACUGAGGAUACAUAGUCACUAGUCAUGAUGCCACUCUCAUGGUGGGUUUUCUACCUAUUUAUUCAUGCCACCUUCUAGUCAUUUCUAUCAAUGCCAAUCUUGUCUCUAUAGUCAAUGUCACCUUUGUUUACUAUAGUCAAGUCCGAGUCCCACAUUCACACAUUUCUCGGGUUCAAUCAUACAUGUCCAUUUCGGUUCUUGUUCAAUCACUAUGUUCGUCUACGUUAGAAGCAUAAUAUUGUAAUUCUAACCUCUAGCCACAUGUAAGAUUACCCUACUAUGCAUGAAUGGCUAUAUAAUAACAUGCUCAACGAAAGUGAAACAGAUAUAGAAGGGAAUCCAACGAUUCCGGCGUGCACCCCCCACCUCUAAUAAUCGUGUGGGUGUAGUAUAUGACGUCUCCCGGAUUUUACGAAAGCCGCCUCCGCGCCCUAUAAUCAAAACGGUGCCAUAUUAGGCCUUUUGUACAUGAACUAUAUUCUAACAUUUUCGUAAUGUUAAACGGAGUUGCCGAACGUUUUUAGGGCACCCCCAAUUAGAUUUCUACGGGGUCAAUUUAUCCCCGAACAAUCCUAGGGCAAAAGGCCCCAAAUUCAAGCCCUAAUAUUGUCAUUUAGGGUUUCCCCAUGAAUCGAUCCCAACCUUAAGCAACAAUAGCUUAGGAUCAACUAAGAAGCAUUCCAGUAAGGUUUCUAGACCCUUGGAAUCAACCCUAGGGCUUCUAUGGCAAACCCUACCCAACCACCAUGAGAGCACUUGAGCUCUCAUGGGUUCCAUGGAGUUCAAGGCAUAUAGAAGGCUCCCAUGGCCAAAAACAACCCAAAGCUCCAAAACAUAGGGAUUAAAACCAAGCCCUAGACUCAUUUCUACCAAAAACUCACCUUAACCCAAGCCCCUCCAAGUCCUUCUUGUGGGAGAGCUUGUAAAACCCACCAAAGCACCAAAUCCACCUUCUCCUCCAAGUUCUUCUUCUUCUUCUCCAAGCCCUAGAGGAGUUCUAGAGAGAGAAAGAGAGGAAAUGGGUGAGAAUGGUGAAAAUGGCUGUGGGAGAGAGAUGGGUGACCAUAUAAAGUGUUGUAACAAUUGCACUUAAGCCCCUCCACUUGUUUCCCAUUGAUCUGCCCAAACUGGGCAUUUUUCGCCUUCGGGGACCGGUCUCCCCGACCAGGGACCGGUUCCCGAACGUGGGUAUUCCAGGACUUAGCCAAAUUUUCGAGUUUUUCUGCUGUUGCGCAGCGAGGGACCGGUCUGCCCGUCAGGGACCGGUCUCCCGAGGACCGGUCUCACCACCAGGGACCGGUUGCCUCAGGACUUCCUGGCAGGCUACGCGUACGGGGACCGGUCUCUCCUUCAGGGACCGGUCCCCGAGAGCUCAAAAUCUGGGACUUAGCCAGAUUUUCGGAUUUGCUCUCUCGGGUCCCUUUAGCUUCAUUUAUGGACUCUAAUACACUUAGGGUCCACUUUAACUCGUUCCACUCCAGGUUUCGCUCGUUUUGACGGAACUCGGCACGUCCUACAAGGGACGUGGUAUGUUACAACCGAAGUGGUGGAGUGCCACUUUGUGAAUGCUUGAGUAAUUUGAGAGGGUCUACCCAUGCACAUAGUGUUAUGGUGGUGGAUCCUUCGUCUAGUUGAUGCGAUCUUGCUAGAUCCACACCACAAGGACAAAGGGUAGUCCUGAUCUCAAGGGAUGGUGAUGUUUAGUAGGACUGUGAAGGAGUGGAUCCUCCUUAAGCUUAACAGCGGGUGGUGCUAGAGUGUGUGAAGUCAUGAGUAUUGACUUGCACUACCACCGAGGCUUGUGAAGCCAUAAUGCACUUUCGAUGUUACCUUUGGCGAAUGUGAGUGAAUUUGGUCUCACAUCUUCCGUAAUGGGCCUUUGGAUGAUUCCGAUGAGGGAAAGGCCACUCCGGAGUGCGAAAGUGCAUUGGAACCCUCGAUUAAGUAAAAUGAGUUGAAAUGAGGGGUGAAUUGAAUUAUGAAUGAGUGAGUUUCGAGGACGAAACUCUUUUUAAGGAGGGGAGAAUGUAACAAUAUGAAUUCUCGAAAUCCAAGAGUUGCACUUCGUUCAGAAUCGACUAAUGGUCAAGUUGGUAAGCUUUGGAAAAGCUAAGGAUGCACGAAACCCAAGAAGCGCAUUGGAAUGGAGUCCGCGAGAGCAAAAAAUGCAAAUCUGCACUUUUGGCAGGUUUUGCUCUCGGGGACCGGUCUCUGGCAGUGAGAGAUCGGUCCCAUCGGCCGAGGAUUGCGGGGUUGCUGAUGCAACCGGUCCCUGGCAGGGAGGGACCGGUCCCCUCAGGUGACACUAGCGAGAAUGGCCAAAAAAUUGGCUAAGUCCCGCGAGACGAGCUCUCGGGGACCGGUCUCUGGUGAGCAGACCGGUCUCCGGGGGACCGGUCCCUCAGGGAGAGACCGGUUCCCGAACACGUGGAAAAUGGGAAGGUCCUCUGGGACCGGUCCCAUGUCGGGAGACCGGUCUCUCCGCGCGGGUUUUGCCCAGUGAAGGUAGUGUAAAGGGUGGAAAGUUGAGGGCCUUCUUAGUAUUUUGUUACAAUAUGAGAGGGGAUUAAGAGAUGGCUUCUCUCUCUCUCUCUCUCUCUCUCUCUCUCUCUCUUUCUUUUCCUCACUCUCCUUCAUCUCCCUCUCUCUCUCUUUGUACGUGAAGGAAAAGAAAAGAAGAAAGAAAGGAAAAGAAAAGAAGAAAGAAAGGAAAAGAGAAGAAGAAGAGAAGGAGAAGAGGGAGGAGAAGAAGAGGAUCAUCAUUACCAUCAUCAUCUUCUUCUUCUUCUCACCAUUGGAGCAAGCUUAAAGAGGUAAGCUUGGUGCCCCCUCAUGGUAGAUCUUUAGAGAUAGGUUUUUGAUCUCUAAGUUGGUUUGAGAAGAACCCUAGCAUGCUAUCUAGAUGGAUUUUCCCCAUUUCAUAGAUCGAUUUGGUGGAUUUAGCUAGGAUAGCAUCUAGGGCACCCAAAAUAGGGUUUUGUGAUUUAGGAGGGUUUGAUCUUAUUUGACCCUCUGUAAACCUAAUUGAUAGGUAACGAAACGCGUUGGCGAAGUCGGUUCGGCAAUCCGACAAGUCAUUACAAAGAUAUUGAAAAAACGGACGUUUGGAGCUUUGUUUCCGCCUGGAAGGCCGAGGCGACGUCCAUAAAUUGUGAGAUCGAGUUCCGAGCGCCGUAAUAGCAAGGCGAAGACCUUUAACUCUUGAAGCUGCGAAGCGACGCGCUAUUGGAGUGUUACUUCAAGAUCGGGCCCCAAACGGGUGCCGAGUGUCGCGGGAGGCCGAUUGCAAGUAUCGACGAGCAAUCGGAAAGCUAGCUAAGGUGGGUUAUAUUUACCGAAGCGACUAGGUCACCUGUAUGUCUAAGUUAAUUGUUUAUCCUUGAUGCACGUAGUGCUAGCUAGUGUUAGAGCAUAUGAAUGCAUAAAAUGAAUGUUAUGUUAAGCUACCACAUAUCGUUUAUGGACAUAAUGUAAGAUGCUAGAUAAAUGCAUUGAGCAACGUUAGCUAAAGGCAUGAGAUAAAUGAUAUUUGCAUGUUAGCAUAAGAGUAGAAAGCAUGCUUAAUGUUAUAGUGUAAAUGUGUGACGACAAGAUAAGAAUGUUACGUAAAGGACUUGUAUAGGUGGACACAAAUGUACCUAUAGAUCGAGUGGCAUUGAACCUAGUGUCGAGAACAUAGGUUGAACAAGUGUGGCAUUGAACCUAGUGUCGAGAACAUAGGUUGAACAAGUGUGGCAUUGAACCUAGUGUCAAGAACAUAGGUUGUGAGAUAAAGAUAAUGAACCUAGAGUUAAUAAACCUAGGCUAUGAGUAUAGAAGCAACGAACCUAAAGUAUUAACUUAGGUUGAGAAAGGCUUGGACCUAGAUAGGUCAAUUCCAUAGGGUUAAGACCAACCCUUAAGUAAUGCGAAAUGGAUUCCGGAAUCCCAAAGCUUAUGGAUACACCGAGAGGGGUGUAGGGUGUGUGCGACGAUUUCGCCACCCAGGGCUAUAGAACCAUUGUCGUGGCGUGUGCGACGAUUUCGCCUCCGGAUGGUUAGCCGGUUAGUGGAUCAUACCGCCUGUUGACUAAACCAUUGACGUGGCGUGUGCGACGAUUUCACCGCUGGGUGGAUAAGUCAUGACCUAGGCUGUUGUUGGGUGAGGUGCGAUGCGUUCGCCGCCAGACGGCUAGGACAGGAGUACGGUGAGUUGUUGUCAGCUGAGGUGCAUGUGAGAGUUCCUUUGCCUUGAGCUAGACAGUGCGCGGACUAUCCGCAAUUGAUUGACUCAAGACCGAGUCGAGUGGCAUAGUUGGCUAGGGUAGAGUCACCUUAGGAAAGAAUGAAAAAUGCUAGGGUGUAGCAAUAAGUAAGAAUGUUAACGAAUAAAGAAUCGCCAAUGGGCAUAAUGUAAGAAAGAAUAAAGAAUAAUAACGUGUAAAGAAUGAUAAUGAGUAAAGAGUAAUAGAGAGUAAAGAAUGAAAGAGUAGGGUAGGAUUAAUUAACCUAUUCGGCUAGUUGCAUGAUCG